Molecule: transfer RNA, 76 nt
Filed under: Holosporaceae bacterium
Lineage: Bacteria; Pseudomonadati; Pseudomonadota; Alphaproteobacteria; Holosporales; Holosporaceae
Description: tRNA-Ala
Rfam family: tRNA
About the family: Transfer RNA (tRNA) molecules are approximately 80 nucleotides in length. Their secondary structure includes four short double-helical elements and three loops (D, anti-codon, and T loops).
Source: RNAcentral
GGGGUCAUAGCUCAGCUGGUAGAGCGCUACACUGGCAUUGUAGAGGUCAGGGGUUCGACUCCCCUUGACUCCACCA